RNAcentral lists this ribosomal RNA (724 nucleotides) under Micromonospora sp. RNAcentral describes it as "bacterial SSU rRNA". It matches the Rfam family "Bacterial small subunit ribosomal RNA", at positions 81 to 820 of the family's 1533-position model. Lineage: Bacteria; Bacillati; Actinomycetota; Actinomycetes; Micromonosporales; Micromonosporaceae. The record is from RNAcentral.
UUCGGGGUACUCGAGCGGCGAACGGGUGAGUAACACGUGAGUAACCUGCCCUAGGCUUUGGGAUAACCCUCGGAAACGGGGGCUAAUACCGGAUAUGACCUUUCCUCGCAUGAGGGUUGGUGGAAAGUUUUUCGGCCUGGGAUGGGCUCGCGGCCUAUCAGCUUGUUGGUGGGGUGAUGGCCUACCAAGGCGACGACGGGUAGCCGGCCUGAGAGGGCGACCGGCCACACUGGGACUGAGACACGGCCCAGACUCCUACGGGAGGCAGCAGUGGGGAAUAUUGCACAAUGGGCGGAAGCCUGAUGCAGCGACGCCGCGUGAGGGAUGACGGCCUUCGGGUUGUAAACCUCUUUCAGCAGGGACGAAGCGCAAGUGACGGUACCUGCAGAAGAAGCGCCGGCCAACUACGUGCCAGCAGCCGCGGUAAGACGUAGGGCGCGAGCGUUGUCCGGAUUUAUUGGGCGUAAAGAGCUCGUAGGCGGCUUGUCGCGUCGACCGUGAAAACUUGGGGCUCAACCCCAAGCCUGCGGUCGAUACGGGCAGGCUAGAGUUCGGUAGGGGAGACUGGAAUUCCUGGUGUAGCGGUGAAAUGCGCAGAUAUCAGGAGGAACACCGGUGGCGAAGGCGGGUCUCUGGGCCGAUACUGACGCUGAGGAGCGAAAGCGUGGGGAGCGAACAGGAUUAGAUACCCUGGUAGUCCACGCUGUAAACGUUGGGCGCUAGG